GACAGAGGUGUCAAGCGUUGCUCGGAAUUACUGGGCGUAAAGAGCGUUCAGGUGGCAUUGUAAGCCAGGUGUGAAAUCCCUUGGCUAACCAAGGAACUGCGCUUGGGACUGCAGUACUAGAGGACGGGAGAGGAGAGUGGAAUUUCCGGUGUAGCGGUGAAAUGCGUAGAUAUCGGAAGGAACACCCGUGGCGAAGGCGGCUCUCUGGCUCGAUCCUGACACUGAUACGCGAAAGCUAGGGGAGCAAACGGGAUUAGAAACCC
RNAcentral lists this ribosomal RNA (263 nucleotides) under uncultured bacterium. Its description in RNAcentral is "partial 16S ribosomal RNA". It matches the Rfam family "Bacterial small subunit ribosomal RNA", at positions 524 to 787 of the family's 1533-position model. The record is from RNAcentral.